RNAcentral lists this unclassified non-coding RNA (1364 nucleotides) under Hevea brasiliensis (rubber tree). Lineage: Eukaryota; Viridiplantae; Streptophyta; Magnoliopsida; Malpighiales; Euphorbiaceae. The record is from RNAcentral.
UGCUCGAAUAACCCAAUUGUUUAUAUGUUUGACUAAAAAAGCUUGCAGAGCCCCAUUCCUUUCCCUCUUGAUGUAUUCUAGGUAAUUUGUAUGGACAAUACCUACAACACGGUUGAAUCUAUCAGUCCAUCGCUUACCANUGCCAUGGUGAUACCAAUUUAAAUGUUCUGGUUCUUCCAGGAUGGCAAUGUCAGCAUCUUUUGAUGGAAUAAACUGAGAAGUAUCUCCAGCAGGGAUUAUGCUUCUCCGUGAUUUUGAGAACUUUCCUGGAUAAAAUGAUAUUUUAAAAUCAGCCUUAAAGCCAAUCCUAUCCUCAAGCCAGUUCCGGAUAUAAUUCUCCUGCUCUUCUGGUGAACUAAAAGUGAGAUUGUUGGGAUAAACUAAUUCUUGAUCUGACUUGCAAAGCCAUGGAACCAGUAAAGUGACCUUUCGUUUUUCAGACUUUGAUAAAUAUGCUGCUCGAAAGAGUGGAUUUACAGCUGUGCCGGUCAUCCAAGGAAGACUAGCAGUUGUGACAAUGGCAACAUGCCUCUUCCCGUCCGAUGGGUUAUGCUUUGAUGAGUCUGUCCAAAAACCACCCUCAUAACAAUGCCCUGUACUUUGAAGGACACUUGCUAUCCUUAAAUCCAAUUCAUCAUUCACAUUCUGAUUAUCAAAGAAAGAGGAUUCCCCUGUAGAAAGUGAGCGCUGUAAAAGUUGAUUCUUGCGUUUACUACACAAACUUUCAACUAUCUUGUCACAUAUAUCUCUUCUAACCCCAAGCUGAUCCAAAAAUGGCCCAGAUUGCCUAACAAAAUAUGCCAACAAUUCUGGUACAUCCAGUGGCGGUACUUCCUUUGACUCUUGAGGCUCCCGGAGUGCUUUCAAGCUGGAUUUCAAUUUCUCCACAAACUCAUUAUUCUUGAAGCCCCCAAAAAUCUCCACGGACUCGCUCUUUUUCUCCAACUCCCUGAAUCCCCUUUUCAAGGCCCUUAUCGGCUCCCAUUCCCCAAAUUGACCUCCUUCCUCUUUCCACUCUCCCCAAAACUCCCUAAACUUAACAGACCUCCUCCUUCUCCUAACCCUAUCGAAUUCCACAAUCCCAUUUCUAUCCCCAUCUUCCAUCUCCGCCACAAUUGCGUUCCUUAUAGCCGACAAAUCAAUCCCUAGCUUAGCCUUGGGCCCCCACUUCUCCAAUACUCUCUUGCUAAUCUCCGGUGCUGAGUAAACCCUCCUAAACUCCGAAAUCUUAGGCUGCAAUUUCUUCACAAAAUCAAUAUCCGUCGGCGUAGAGGACCUGAAGGAGCGUACUGAGAAGGAAGUGGAGGCGGAAUUGAAGAAAUUCUCAAGCUCUCGAUCGAAGGAGUUAGCGAGGUUCUUGAACG